UACGUAGGGUGCGAGCGUUAAUCGGAAUUACUGGGCGUAAAGGGUGCGCAGGCGGUUAUAUAAGACAGAUGUGAAAUCCCCGGGCUCAACCUGGGAACUGCGUUUGUGACUGUAUGACUAGAGUACGGUAGAGAGGGGUGGAAUUCCUGGUGUAGCAGUGAAAUGCGUAGAUAUCAGGAGGAACACCAAUAGCGAAGGCAGCUCGCUGGGACGUUACUGACACUGAGGCGCGAAAGCGUGGGGAGCGAACAGG
Molecule: ribosomal RNA, 253 nt
Filed under: uncultured bacterium
Lineage: Bacteria
Description: partial 16S ribosomal RNA
Rfam family: Bacterial small subunit ribosomal RNA
Source: RNAcentral